CCGCUGGGUAGCUACGUAUGGAUUAGAUAAUCGCUGAAAGCAUCUAAGUGAGAAACUAACCUCGAGAUGAGAUUUCCCAUUCGUCAGAAGUAAGACCCCUGCGAGCCGAUCAGGUAGAUAGGCUAGAAGUGGAAGUGUAGUGAUGCAUGGAGCGGACUAGUACUAAUAGGUCGAGGACUUAACCAAG
This 187-nucleotide ribosomal RNA is filed under the name Oenococcus oeni. RNAcentral's name for it is "partial 23S ribosomal RNA". It matches the Rfam family "Bacterial large subunit ribosomal RNA", at positions 2738 to 2925 of the family's 2925-position model. Lineage: Bacteria; Bacillati; Bacillota; Bacilli; Lactobacillales; Lactobacillaceae. The record is from RNAcentral.